RNAcentral lists this ribosomal RNA (295 nucleotides) under uncultured bacterium. RNAcentral describes it as "partial 16S ribosomal RNA". It matches the Rfam family "Bacterial small subunit ribosomal RNA", at positions 333 to 642 of the family's 1533-position model. The record is from RNAcentral.
GUACUCCUACGGGGGGCAGCAGUGGGGAAUAUUGGGCAAUGGGCGCAAGCCUGACCCAGCAACGCCGCGUGAAGGAAGAAGGCUUUCGGGUUGUAAACUUCUUUUAUUGAGGACGAAACAAAUGACGGUACUCAAUGAAUAAGCCACGGCUAACUACGUGCCAGCAGCCGCGGUAAUACGUAGGUGGCAAGCGUUAUCCGGAUUUACUGGGUGUAAAGGGCGUGUAGGCGGGACUGCAAGUCAGAUGUGGAACCCAUGGGCUCAACCCAUGGCCUGCCUUUUAAACUGUAUUUCU